CCUACGGGGGGCAGCAGUGGGGAAUAUUGCACAAUGGGCGCAAGCCUGAUGCAGCCAUGCCGCGUGUGUGAAGAAGGCCUUCGGGUUGUAAAGCACUUUCAGCGGGGAGGAAGGCGUUAGGGUUAAUAACCUUGGCGAUUGACGUUACCCGCAGAAGAAGCACCGGCUAACUCCGUGCCAGCAGCCGUGGUAAUACGGAGGGUGCAAGCGUUAAUCGGAAUUACUGGGCGUAAAGCGCACGCAGGCGGUCUGUCAAGUCGGAUGUGAAAUCCCCGGGCUCAACCUGGGAACUGCAUUCGAAACUGGCAGGCUAGAGUCUUGUAGAGGGGGGUAGAAUUCCAGGUGUAGCGGUGAAAUGCGUAGAGAUCUGGAGGAAUACCGGUGGCGAAGGCGGCCCCCUGGACAAAGACUGACGCUCAGGUGCGAAAGCGUGGGGAGCAAACAGGAUUAGAUACCCCGGUAGUC
This 465-nucleotide ribosomal RNA is filed under the name uncultured Klebsiella sp. RNAcentral's name for it is "bacterial SSU rRNA". It matches the Rfam family "Bacterial small subunit ribosomal RNA", at positions 338 to 795 of the family's 1533-position model. Lineage: Bacteria; Pseudomonadati; Pseudomonadota; Gammaproteobacteria; Enterobacterales; Enterobacteriaceae. The record is from RNAcentral.